RNAcentral lists this ribosomal RNA (503 nucleotides) under uncultured bacterium. RNAcentral's name for it is "bacterial SSU rRNA". It matches the Rfam family "Bacterial small subunit ribosomal RNA", at positions 28 to 525 of the family's 1533-position model. The record is from RNAcentral.
GACGAACGCUGGCGGCGUGGAUUAGGCAUGCAAGUCGAACGGUAUCAUCCUUUCGGGGGUGAGAGAGUGGCGAACUGGUGAGUAACACGUAGGUUAUCUACCCUCAAGACGGGGACAACCCAGGGAAACUUGGGCUAAUACCGGAUGUGAGCAACUUUUAGUUGUUUGAAAGGUGGCGUAAGCUGUCGCUUGGGGAUGAGCCUGCGUCCUAUUAGUUAGUUGGUGAGGUAACGGCUCACCUAGGCAAUGAUAGGUAGGCGGCCUUAACGGGUGGUCGCCCACACUGGGAUUGAGAUACGGCCCAGACUCCUACGGGAGGCAGCAGUCGAGAAUAGUCUACAAUGGUCGGAAGACUGAUAGUGCGACGCCGCGUGAACGAUGAAUCCCUUCGGGGUUAAAGUUCUUUUAUAUGUGAGCAGUGCUUCUUAUAUUAACAGUAUGGGGAAGAGAUAUUAGCAUAUGAAUAAGCAACGGCUAACUCCGUGCCAGCAGCCGCGGUAAUA